AACGCGAAGUACCUUACCAGGGCUUAAAUGUGGUUUGACAGCUUUAGAGAUAGAGUUUUCUUCGGACAGAUCACAAGGUGCUGCAUGGUUGUCGUCAGCUCGUGCCGUGAGGUGUCAGGUUAAGUCCUAUAACGAGCGCAACCCCUGUUGUUAGUUGCCAGCGAGUCAAGUCGGGAACUCUAACAAGACUGCCGGUGCAAACCGUGAGGAAGGUGGGGAUGACGUCAAAUCAUCACGGCCCUUACGUCCUGGGCCACACACGUGCUACAAUGGCAGGUACAAUGGGCAGCCACUGCGUAAGCAGGAGCGAAUCCACAAAACCUGUCUCAGUUCGGAUCGGGGUCUGCAACUCGACCCCGUGAAGCUGGAAUCGCUAGUAAUCGGAUAUCAGCCAUGAUCCGGUGAAUACGUUCCCGGGUCUUGUACACACCG
This 432-nucleotide ribosomal RNA is filed under the name uncultured bacterium. RNAcentral describes it as "bacterial SSU rRNA". It matches the Rfam family "Bacterial small subunit ribosomal RNA", at positions 958 to 1392 of the family's 1533-position model. The record is from RNAcentral.